CGGAGAUAAGGGGCAGGACUACCAGCUAUUAAAACUCUGGUACUAGGGAAAAGAGACUCUGUGAUUUGGGAGAAUACACUGACGGGACACACAGAUACAGAAUAUUUCAAAAAUAUAAUACAUAAUAUAUACAGCGCCGUAACUUGUAUUGUGUAGUUCUAAAUACAUAUAGCACAAUACUUGAUUAUAUUCCUUGGACGCUGGAGACAGAUUGUGGUACCUGAACUUCCAGAAAUAAAACUAAAAACGCGUGGAAUAUCAGCAGGACUGUGAGUUACUGUUAAAUCACUGACUGUCUGGGGUGAUCUGCACUUAGGGAGCAUCUCCAAGUGGAUUUAUCUGUGGUGAACAACCUAAGGGACCGUCUCGAAAUGGACGGAAUCGAUCCUAACAGGAGAGGCGGGGCGAGGGGGAGAGGCAGAGGAAAUGCAGACCACCGGAGAGGUGCGGGGGCCCCACAGAGGGAUGGAGACCACAACAACCCAAGAGGAGGAGGAGGAAGAGGAAGAGGAGGAGGAGGAAG
Long non-coding RNA from Acipenser ruthenus (sterlet), 523 nucleotides. RefSeq lists it as uncharacterized. The record is from RefSeq and is a predicted model, not a curated record. NCBI's taxonomy places the organism in Eukaryota, Metazoa, Chordata, Actinopteri, Acipenseriformes, Acipenseridae. The transcript has 3 exons.